AGUGAACGCUGGCGGCAGGCCUAACACAUGCAAGUCGAACGGCAGCACAAGAGAGCUUGCUCUCUGGGUGGCGAGUGGCGGACGGGUGACGAAUGCAUCGGAAUCUGCCCAUUUGUGGGGGAUAACCUCGGGAAACCGGGACUAAUACCGCAUACGACCUACGGGUGAAAGCAGGGGAUCUUCGGACCUUGCGCAGAUGGAUGAGCCGAUGCCGGAUUAGCUAGUUGGAGGGGUAAAGGCCCACCAAGGCGACGAUCCGUAGCUGGUCUGAGAGGAUGAUCAGCCACACUGGGACUGAGACACGGCCCAGACUCCUACGGGAGGCAGCAGUGGGGAAUCUUGGGCAAUGGGCGCAAGCCUGAUCCAGCCAUGCCGCGUGUGUGAAGAAGGCCUUCGGGUUGUAAAGCACUUUUGUUGGGAAAGAAAAGCAGCCGGUUAAUACCCGGUUGUCAUGACGGUACCCAAAGAAUAAGCACCGGCUAACUUCGUG
This 490-nucleotide ribosomal RNA is filed under the name uncultured bacterium. RNAcentral's name for it is "partial 16S ribosomal RNA". It matches the Rfam family "Bacterial small subunit ribosomal RNA", at positions 29 to 507 of the family's 1533-position model. The record is from RNAcentral.